UAGUCCACGCCGUAAACGAUGGAUACUAGGUGUCCGGGAAGUUAACCUCCUGGGUACUACAGCUAACGCGUUAAGUAUCCCGCCUGGGGAGUACGGACGCAAGGUUAAAACUCAAAGGAAUUGACGGGGGCCCGCACAAGCGGUGGAACAUGUGGUUUAAUUCGACGAUACGCGAGGAACCUUACCUGGACUUAAAUGUAGAUUGCAUAGAGUAGAAAUAUUCUUUUCUUCGGACUAUCUACAAGGUGCUGCAUGGUUGUCGUCAGCUCGUGCCGUGAGGUGUCGGGUUAAGUCCCAUAACGAGCGCAACCCCUAUCGUUAGUUGCUAACAGGUCAAGCUGAGGACUCUGACGAGACUGCCGGUGUAAACCGCGAGGAAGGUGGGGAUGACGUCAAAUCAGCACGGCCCUUACGUUCAGGGCUACACACGUGUUACAAUGGCCGAUACAGAGGGCAGCUACCUGGCAACAGGAUGCGAAUCUCGAAAAUUGGUCUCAGUUCGGAUCGGAGUCUGCAACUCGACU
This 524-nucleotide ribosomal RNA is filed under the name uncultured bacterium. Its description in RNAcentral is "bacterial SSU rRNA". It matches the Rfam family "Bacterial small subunit ribosomal RNA", at positions 791 to 1317 of the family's 1533-position model. The record is from RNAcentral.